UUUCCGUAGGUGAACCUGCGGAAGGAUCAUUACAGAGUUCAGGCCCUCACGGGUAGAUCUCCCACCCUUGAAUAUUUAUACCUUAGUUGCUUUGGCAGGCCGUGGAAACACCAUGGGCUCCGUCUUAUGCGUGCCUGCCAGAGGAAACAAACUCUGUUUUUAGUGCUGUCUGAGUACUAUAUAAUAGUUAAAGCUUUCAACAACGGAUCUCUUGGUUCUG
RNAcentral lists this unclassified non-coding RNA (220 nucleotides) under plant metagenome. RNAcentral describes it as "partial contains small subunit ribosomal RNA, internal transcribed spacer 1, and 5.8S ribosomal RNA". The record is from RNAcentral.